This 160-nucleotide ribosomal RNA is filed under the name uncultured Gammaproteobacteria bacterium. Its description in RNAcentral is "partial 16S ribosomal RNA". It matches the Rfam family "Bacterial small subunit ribosomal RNA", at positions 339 to 490 of the family's 1533-position model. The record is from RNAcentral. Lineage: Bacteria; Pseudomonadati; Pseudomonadota; Gammaproteobacteria.
CUACGGGAGGCAGCAGUGGGGAAUAUUGCACAAUGGGCGCAAGCCUGAUGCAGCCAUGCCGCGUGUAUGAAGAAGGCCUUCGGGUUGUAAAGUACUUUCAGCGAGGAGGAAGGCAUUGUGGUUAAUANCCGCAGUAUUGUACGUUAUCUCGCACAAGAAG